UGGGGAAUAUUGCACAAUGGGCGAAAGCCUGAUGCAGCGACGCCGCGUGCGGGAUGAAGGCCUUCGGGUUGUAAACCGCUUUUAAUUGGGAGCAAGCGAGAGUGAGUGUACCCUUUGAAUAAGCACCGGCUAACUACGUGCCAGCAGCCGCGGUAAUACGUAGGGUGCAAGCGUUAUCCGGAAUUAUUGGGCGUAAAGAGCUCGUAGGCGGUUUGUCACGCCUGGUGUGAAAGUCCAUCGCUUAACGGUGGAUCUGCGCCGGGUACGGGCAGGCUAGAGUGCAGUAGGGGAGAUUGGAAUUCCCGGUGUAACGGUGGAAUGUGUAGAUAUCGGGAAGAACACCAAUGGCGAAGGCAGAUCUCUGGGCUGUUACUGACGCUGAGGAGCGAAAGCAUGGGGAGCGAACAGGAUUAGAUACCCGUGGUAGUCCAUGCCGUAAACGGUGGAUGCUGGAUGUGGGACCCUUCCACGGGUUCCGUGUC
This 482-nucleotide ribosomal RNA is filed under the name uncultured bacterium. Its description in RNAcentral is "partial 16S ribosomal RNA". It matches the Rfam family "Bacterial small subunit ribosomal RNA", at positions 355 to 847 of the family's 1533-position model. The record is from RNAcentral.